AUUGUUUCGGGAAGCGACGAUUCUUGGCAAAAACUGCAAUGAGCAAGCCCGUUUGUUACUGGAAGUAUUUUACAGAAGAAGAGGAAAGAGGACUGCCUUCGAUGAGUCGCUGCAUGCACAGACGCCACUGCUCUCGGGGUCUGUGUGCAGCGCAAAGCCUUGCACCACGUGGUCCACAUCCGCCGUUGAUGCGCGACGACUAAGUGACAAGCCCACUCGACUACCAAGUCAUGCAUAACUCGCUGUCUGCUGUACUGCUUUGAUGUCCCACGUGAUAUUCAAGAUGGCUGCCCUUCGAGUCAACGCAUGCCUUCACUACUCCGUUUCUUCUUUCGCUAAUCUUGCAAGGUGAGUGGUUUUCAAGUAUAUUACAAAGAGUGCACGGCGUAUUCUUUUACCCGAUACUUUCCGCUAAUUCAUGACAUAUAGAACAAGGCUGCAAUGCCCGCAAGGAAAAUUCAGGCGGA
Dermacentor silvarum is the source of this 467-nucleotide long non-coding RNA. RefSeq lists it as uncharacterized. The record is from RefSeq and is a predicted model, not a curated record. The transcript has 3 exons. Lineage: Eukaryota; Metazoa; Arthropoda; Arachnida; Ixodida; Ixodidae.